This 131-nucleotide small RNA is filed under the name Klebsiella pneumoniae. RNAcentral's name for it is "RtT sRNA". It matches the Rfam family "RtT RNA". From Rfam's summary of the family: This family represents a bacterial cis-regulatory element known as RtT RNA. Lineage: Bacteria; Pseudomonadati; Pseudomonadota; Gammaproteobacteria; Enterobacterales; Enterobacteriaceae. The record is from RNAcentral.
UAUUCUGCCCUACAGGGAAGGAUGAGAAGCUUCGACUAAGGUUCGACUCGAGCGAAGCGAGAGAACGUUGCCGCUGGCAAUGGCCCGAAGGCGAGGCGCUUUAGCGCCAAGUAAUUCUUCCCCCACCACUG